This 1394-nucleotide long non-coding RNA is filed under the name Bos indicus x Bos taurus (hybrid cattle). RNAcentral's name for it is "lncRNA (ENSBIXG00005013622.1)". The record is from RNAcentral. Lineage: Eukaryota; Metazoa; Chordata; Mammalia; Artiodactyla; Bovidae.
GGGAAGAGAGAGAAUUUGGACCAAAAAAGUAGAAGACCAAAGUCAGUCCCCAACAUUCACUGAAAACCGAGGACCCAGAAUCUAAAGCAGAGCAACGAAGAACUGACAUAAUUGCCAGGAUGAAGCUUGGACUGUGGGAUUAUCUUUCUGGUAUUCAAAGAAGCUGAUAAAUUUCCACCCUCCCCUUCCCUCCACAAGGAUUAUUACAAGAGCCGUUGGAGAAGCACACAGAGGAAAGCUUUUUUGCCAAGUCAGGAUGCACAGCCCUGGAGGAGGUUCCAUGAAGUCGCUGGUAAGUCCUGAGAGCCCUGGUCUGGGAGCUCUGGGUGGAAUCCCCCAGUCCCAGAAGGAUAGACAGCAUGUCUCUCUCCCACCGGAGCCCUCCCAGUCAUAAGCUGGAGCGGACGUCUUCUGACCCAGAAUCAGCAGGGUGAGAGCAGAAUUUACCAACAACCUCAGGACGGGGCAUGGAGAAGGAAGAUCUCAGACUGAAGAAUUAAUUUUCUCUCCUUCCUGAGCAGAGCAGCUCUCUGCCUAAAGCCGAGAAUCUUUCCAGAAUGCAAGUCCUGAAUGGAGACAGUCCUGUAAGCGCCGCGUGACCCUAAUCACUCUGACCACGUUCUGCCACAGUUUGCAGUGGCCUACAUCUAACGCAGGGUCCACGUGACGCGCUCCUCCGGAGAACAAGGCUGAAGCUCAGCCAGUGGGCCUGCGUUCCCGGGGACCAGGGAGCACUCUCUUCUAGGAACUAAUCACAACUGGAGGGCUCUGGGGACUGAAACCUGUGUACUGGGUUUCAGCGCUUUAGGUGAUAUGAUAACUAGGAACAUACCCCCGAGAAACGGAAGAUCUGGCUGAGACAGGACCCUUGCUUACUAAAACGUGAUCUGCACAAUUAGAACUUCGUAAAGAUUUCAAACUGGAAAUCCAGCAACAUAAGAAAUUUCUCAUGAGCUUUUAUGUUUCCUAGUAAAUAUCCCUCUUGCUCAGUCGCAGUUAGAAAAUGAUAAGCAUCAGCCCAUGAUCCCAGAGGAAUGUUUUUAAAGUAGCAGAUUUUAAGAGAAAGCCCUGUAAUUCUAAUAACAAUAAGAAACCUUCCUUUUCAAACACCUUUUGAUUUUAUGAGAAGAGUUUGUUUUUGUAAUAUUUGUAUCAGACCAGUUUGCUUUUUUCCAAUAUAGAAUCAAUACUGUAUUUGCCUACAACUCUCAAGUCCUACUUUUUUUUAACUGCCAAUGGUUAAAACAAAGCAUGUGUAUAGAAGCUAAGGAAAGGUAAUAUCUACAAAAUAUUAGUGAAUUUAGGUCUAAACAAAGAUAUUGGUAAGACUAGCACAAACAUUGAACAAAGAUUCAAGAUGAAUUAGACUCAAGAUAUUUUUUUAAAAAAUCACU